CCUACGGGUGGCUGCAGUGAGGAAUAUUGGUCAAUGGGCGUAAGCCUGAACCAGCCAAGUCGCGUGAGGGAUGACGGUUCUAUGGAUCGUAAACCUCUUUUAUAAAGGAAUAAAGUGAGGCACGUGUGCCUUUUUGUAUGUACUUUAUGAAUAAGGAUCGGCUAACUCCGUGCCAGCAGCCGCGGUAAUACGGAGGAUCCGAGCGUUAUCCGGAUUUAUUGGGUUUAAAGGGAGCGUAGAUGGGUGGUUAAGUCAGUUGUGAAAGUUUGCGGCUCAACCGUAAAAUUGCAAUUGAUACUGGCAGUCUUGAGUACAGUUGAGGUAGGCGGAAUUCGUGGUGUAGCGGUGAAAUGCUUAGAUAUCACGAAGAACUCCGAUUGCGAAGGCAGCUUACUAAGCUGCCACUGACAUUGAUGCUCGAAAGUGUGGGUAUCAAACAGGAUUAGAUACCCUUGUAGUC
Molecule: ribosomal RNA, 460 nt
Filed under: uncultured bacterium
Lineage: Bacteria
Description: partial 16S ribosomal RNA
Rfam family: Bacterial small subunit ribosomal RNA
Source: RNAcentral